AUGAUCAUCGUUUGGUCUUCGCCAGAACUAUCAGAAUCGUGUUCUCAUGUAGGGGCAGUUCUUUUUUCCAUUGAAGUUGGGGUAAAGAUGCGAGAUUCCGCUUCCUGCACAACAGAGCAGUGCAAGUGGCUGAUGCCAUCACAUGUAAAAAAGAUUCCUGCUGCUCCAGUAGCUCUGAUUGACUUCUCCUCAGCAAAAGCAAAAAAAAUAAAGCUUGACCGUUCCAUUGAUGGCAGGACAACUGACAACAAGGUUGGGAAAUCACUACCAUGCCCAAGAGUUAAGAGAGGGUCAGAAACAUAUGCUAGGUUUUUUGAAACAUUAAGCAAAAACUGUCCAAGGAGUGCAGCACUGAUGGCUAGGGAGCCUUACCACAAAGAAUUCAUCCCCAAAUCUUGCAUGCUUCCUAAAACUGUUCUUGAAUACAGAACACCGGAGACUCUGCAGCUACCCCCCAAAGAGCUUGGAGAGCUAUGCCAGGAUUUUCUGCUAGAAGAGCUCACCCUGUCUCAUGUUCAGGCUGUAGAGAGGGCAACUCGAAGUCAGAGUGCAAGCAGGGUUUGGUUUAGGCAAAGAGCAGGACGUGUAACGGCCUCAAAGCUGAAACAAGUGCUUAAGACCAACCCCCAGCAGCCAUCCAAGAGCUUGAUCAAGGGCAUAUGCUACCCAGAAGCAUAUAGGUUCAUCACAGCCGCUACAAGGUAUUUAGGGUUUGAAUUAGGGAAAGGCAAAGGUAAGAUUUGGGGUAUGAGGCAUGAACAAAUGUUUACUGUUUUCAUAGUUGAUUCAUGGUAUGGACAGCCCUGA
RNAcentral lists this long non-coding RNA (807 nucleotides) under Carassius auratus (goldfish). RNAcentral's name for it is "lncRNA (ENSCARG00000006881.1)". The record is from RNAcentral. Lineage: Eukaryota; Metazoa; Chordata; Actinopteri; Cypriniformes; Cyprinidae.